RNAcentral lists this ribosomal RNA (498 nucleotides) under uncultured bacterium. RNAcentral describes it as "bacterial SSU rRNA". It matches the Rfam family "Bacterial small subunit ribosomal RNA", at positions 28 to 486 of the family's 1533-position model. The record is from RNAcentral.
GACGAACGCUGGCGGCGUGCCUAAUACAUGCAAGUCGAACGCACUCUCGUUUAGAUUGAAGGAGCUUGCUCCUGAUUGAUAAACAUUUGAGUGAGUGGCGGACGGGUGAGUAACACGUGGGUAACCUGCCCUAAAGUGGGGGAUAACAUUUGGAAACAGAUGCUAAUACCGCAUAAAACCUAACACCGCAUGGUGUAGGGUUGAAAGAUGGUUUCGGCUAUCACUUUAGGAUGGACCCGCGGUGCAUUAGUUAGUUGGUGAGGUAAAGGCUCACCAAGACCGUGAUGCAUAGCCGACCUGAGAGGGUAAUCGGCCACACUGGGACUGAGACACGGCCCAGACUCCUACGGGAGGCAGCAGUAGGGAAUCUCCCACAAUGGACGAAAGUCUGAUGGAGCAACGCCGCGUGAGUGAAGAGGGUUUCGGAUCGUAAAACUCUGUUGUUGGAGAAGAAUGUAUCUGAUAGUAACUGAUCAGGUAGUGACGGUAUCCAACCAG